UUUUUUUACAUUCGCUGUUUUCAUAAAUUAUGUUUUUUGUUUCUAAUAAACACAAAUUCAAUACAUAAAUAUUAUUAAAUCCAUAAACUGUCAUACAAUAUUCUAGACUGAACUCCAUUUAUUGACCCUUUAUUAUGAUCAAAAUCUAAUACUGAAUAAUUUACUCAUCAGUAGGUAUAAUUAAUUUUAAAGUACUUACUUUAAAGUUUUCGAUUCUCUAAAUUACAAAUAUAUAAGUAUGUUUUAAAGUUGAUUAUAUCUACUGUACCUUUAGGCUUUACUACUAAUACAUAUAUGUAAACAUUUAAUAACUAUUAAAUAUGUGUUAGAUUCUGGGUCAAAAAAUGUUCUGAUUUAGGUACAAUGUUUUUACUUCUCUGAAGACUUUCGAACAAAGACUUCUAAAGUUAAGUAUAUAUUGGCCUGCUAUCUUAUAUCCAUCAAUAUAUUAUAUUGAUCGGAAUUCGGGGUCAAGAUAAUACUUUGCAGAAUUGGUCAUUAUUUGAUUUGUUAUGUAAUUUUUUAUAAACUACCAAUCGUAAAUGGUUUUAGUCGAUCUCUGCAAUGAAACCAGUUUGAAAUUUGUUGAUUUUUGUAUAGUACCAUCACAAAAUGAAAUGAGUGUUUAUCGUCUACCAUAGUACCAUCUGAUUUCAAUAUCUUGUGCUGUUUUUUUUUUUAAAUAUAUUUUUAUUACUUUUAACAGUAAAUUAAAGUAGACGAAGAAUUUAUAAAUAAAUAACAAUAACAAAAUACAAAGAAAUCAGCAAUACCAGUAUAAACUAGUUUAUAUAUUAUACAUACAUAUGGAUAAUAUAUUAUUAAUAUUAUGUUAUGAUUGAUUCUGAUAUCAUAGUGAGAUUGAUGAAAAAGUUAUGGAAUAUUAUGCCAAUUUAAAGAAUGAAUACAGCUGAAUAGUAUUCAGUGAAUACUCUACACGUCGAGUGCGUUGAGUGAAAGAUGGUGAAAUAAGAUGUGGGAAAGAUCCAAUACGUAUACUUUCAUUACAUUGACAAGUACAAAGAGGUCAGAUAAGAGUCAUUUAAUGAAAGUUUAAAGGCUUGUGAUGAUAAUGAACAAUGUUUGCUUAUAUAAGCUAUUGAUUUUUCAGAUAAGAUUUUAAAUUUUGAAUCAAUGUUGAUAAAUAACAGUACUGGGUGCAAAUGUACAAUAUAUUAUUAUAAACCUAUACCUACUAUUAUGCUUAUAAAAAGGCAAAGUUCAAACCUAAUUAAUUGAGUACCUAUUUAUUCAAAGCUUUAUAGUUGAACCACGUUAUAUACAUGUUAUAUGACAUGAGGAAAAAACACCAAAUAUCACAACAAAUCGGAGAAGCACUCGGACCCGACCCCCAAUCAAUCACCAAAAUCCUACAAUUUAUUAAAGAAAUUCAGCUAUAUAACCUAAUUUAAGCCAUAGUAUAAGUCAACCAUACAAUUGUAAAAUCUUAAGUUAAUGUCAUACUAAUGGCCAUAGAAGCCGAUGUUUUUUAGAUCAA
Long non-coding RNA from Acyrthosiphon pisum (pea aphid), 1498 nucleotides. RefSeq lists it as uncharacterized. Lineage: Eukaryota; Metazoa; Arthropoda; Insecta; Hemiptera; Aphididae. The record is from RefSeq and is a predicted model, not a curated record. The transcript has 2 exons.